RNAcentral lists this ribosomal RNA (468 nucleotides) under uncultured bacterium. Its description in RNAcentral is "partial 16S ribosomal RNA". It matches the Rfam family "Bacterial small subunit ribosomal RNA", at positions 28 to 507 of the family's 1533-position model. The record is from RNAcentral.
GACGAACGCUGGCGGCGUGCUUAACACAUGCAAGUCGAACGGAAAGGCCCUGCUUUUGUGGGGUGCCCGAGGGGCGAACGGGGGAGUAACACGUGAGUAACCUGCCCUACACUUUGGGAUAACUUCAGGAAACUGGGCCUAAUACCGGAUAGGAGCCCCCGCUGCAUGGUGGGGGUUGGAACGUUUCAGCGGGUGCGGAUGGACUCGCGGGUUAUCAGCUUGUUGGUGGGGUAGGGGCUUACCGAGGCUUUGACGGGUACCCGGCCUGGGAGGGGGACCGGCCACAUUGGGACUGAGAGACGGACCAGACUCCUACAGGGGGCAGCAGUGGGGAAUAUUGCACAAUGGGCGGGAGCCUGAUGCAGCAACGCCGCGUGCGGGAAGACGGCCUUCGGGUUGUAAACCGCUUUCGCCUGUGACGAAGCGUGAGUGACGGUAAUGGGUAAAGAAGCACCGGCUAACUACGUG